CUAACAAAGCACUAAACUACAAAGGAAUUUCUUCAUCAUCAAGCUUUCUUCAAGCGUUUCAAGUCACUCUUCGUCAAUUCUCCCUAUCAUCCAAUGUGCUCGUACAUGUAAACAAAAGAAGAGCAUUAGUUAGAAAAAUUCAUGUUGGAAUAAGAUUGGAAAAUUUCAAAGAAAUCUCUAUAUUUUAA
Non-coding RNA from Vicia faba (fava bean), 188 nucleotides. The record is from the annotation of a GenBank genome assembly. NCBI's taxonomy places the organism in Eukaryota, Viridiplantae, Streptophyta, Magnoliopsida, Fabales, Fabaceae.